This 433-nucleotide ribosomal RNA is filed under the name uncultured bacterium. RNAcentral's name for it is "partial 16S ribosomal RNA". It matches the Rfam family "Bacterial small subunit ribosomal RNA", at positions 29 to 507 of the family's 1533-position model. The record is from RNAcentral.
AGCGAACGCUGGCGGCAGGCCUAACACAUGCAAGUCGAACGAACUCUUCGGAGUUAGUGGCGGACGGGUGAGUAACACGUGGGAACGUGCCUUUUGGUUCGGAAUAACUCAGGGAAACUUGUGCUAAUACCGAAUGUGCCCUUCGGGGGAAAGAUUUAUCGCCAUUAGAGCGGCCCGCGUCUGAUUAGCUAGUUGGUGAGGUAACGGCUCACCAAGGCGACGAUCAGUAGCUGGUCUGAGAGGAUGACCAGCCACACUGGGACUGAGACACGGCCCAGACUCCUACGGGAGGCAGCAGUGGGGAAUCUUGCGCAAUGGGCGAAAGCCUGACGCAGCCAUGCCGCGUGAAUGAUGCAGGUCUUAGGAUUGUAAAAUUCUUUCACCGGGGACGAUAAUGACGGUACCCGGAGAAGAAGCCCCGGCUAACUUCGUG